UGGGGAAUCUUGCACAAUGGGGGAAACCCUGAUGCAGCGACGCCGCGUGAGCGAUGAAGCCCUUCGGGGUGUAAAGCUCUUUCGACGGGAACGAUAAUGACGGUACCCGGAGAAGAAGCUGCGGCUAACUACGUGCCAGCAGCCGCGGUAAUACGUAGGCAGCGAGCGUUGUUCGGAGUUACUGGGCGUAAAGAGUAUGUAGGCGGUUUUCUAAGUUUGGUGUGAAAUCUCCCGGCUCAACUGGGAGGGUGCGCCGAAUACUGGGAGGCUUGAGCGUGGGAGAGGAAAGCGGAAUUCCUGGUGUAGCGGUGAAAUGCGUAGAUAUCAGGAGGAACACCUGCGGUGUAGACGGCUUUCUGGACCACGGCUGACGCUGAGAUACGAAAGCGUGGGUAGCAAACA
This 402-nucleotide ribosomal RNA is filed under the name uncultured prokaryote. RNAcentral describes it as "bacterial SSU rRNA". It matches the Rfam family "Bacterial small subunit ribosomal RNA", at positions 355 to 774 of the family's 1533-position model. The record is from RNAcentral.